This 482-nucleotide ribosomal RNA is filed under the name uncultured bacterium. RNAcentral describes it as "partial 16S ribosomal RNA". It matches the Rfam family "Bacterial small subunit ribosomal RNA", at positions 30 to 507 of the family's 1533-position model. The record is from RNAcentral.
AUUGAACGCUGGCGGCAUGCCUUACACAUGCAAGUCGAACGGUAACAGGUCUUCGGAUGCUGACGAGUGGCGAACGGGUGCGUAAUACAUCGGAACGUGCCCGAUCGUGAGGGAUAACGAGGCGAAAGCUUUGCUAAUACCGCAUACGAUCUACGGAUGAAAGCGGGGGAUCUUCGGACCUCGCGCGGACGGAGCGGCCGAUGGCAGAUUAGGUAGUUGGUGGGAUAAAAGCUUACCAAGCCGACGAUCUGUAGCUGGUCUGAGAGGAUGAUCAGCCACACUGGGACUGAGACACGGCCCAGACUCCUACGGGAGGCAGCAGUGGGGAAUUUUGGACAAUGGGCGAAAGCCUGAUCCAGCCAUGCCGCGUGCAGGAUGAAGGCCUUCGGGUUGUAAACUGCUUCUGUUCGGAACGAAAAGCCUCUUUCUAAUAAAGAGGGGUCAUGACGGUACCGUAAGAAUAAGCACCGGCUAACUACGUG